RNAcentral lists this ribosomal RNA (273 nucleotides) under uncultured bacterium. RNAcentral describes it as "partial 16S ribosomal RNA". It matches the Rfam family "Bacterial small subunit ribosomal RNA", at positions 524 to 796 of the family's 1533-position model. The record is from RNAcentral.
UACGUAGGGCGCAAGCGUUAUCCGGAAUUAUUGGGCGUAAAGAGCUCGUAGGCGGUUUGUCGCGUCUGCCGUGAAAGUCCGGGGCUCAACUCCGGAUCUGCGGUGGGUACGGGCAGACUAGAGUGAUGUAGGGGAGACUGGAAUUCCUGGUGUAGCGGUGAAAUGCGCAGAUAUCAGGAGGAACACCGAUGGCGAAGGCAGGUCUCUGGGCAUUAACUGACGCUGAGGAGCGAAAGCAUGGGGAGCGAACAGGAUUAGAUACCCGGGUAGUCC